UACGAAGGGGGCUAGCGUUGCUCGGAAUCACUGGGCGUAAAGCGCACGUAGGCGGAUUGCUAAGUCAGGGGUGAAAUCCUGGAGCUCAACUCCAGAACUGCCUUUGAUACUGGCGACCUUGAGUACGGGAGAGGUGAGUGGAACUGCGAGUGUAGAGGUGAAAUUCGUAGAUAUUCGCAAGAACACCAGUGGCGAAGGCGGCUCACUGGCCCGUAACUGACGCUGAGGCACGAAAGCGUGGGGAGCAAACAGG
RNAcentral lists this ribosomal RNA (253 nucleotides) under uncultured bacterium. Its description in RNAcentral is "partial 16S ribosomal RNA". It matches the Rfam family "Bacterial small subunit ribosomal RNA", at positions 524 to 776 of the family's 1533-position model. The record is from RNAcentral.